CCUACGGGAGGCAGCAGUGGGGAAUAUUGCACAAUGGGCGAAAGCCUGAUGCAGCAACGCCGCGUGAGCGAUGAAGGUUUUCGGAUCGUAAAGCUCUGUCGCAUGGGAAGAUAAUGACGGUACCAUGUGAGGAAGCCCCGGCUAACUACGUGCCAGCAGCCGCGGUAAU
This 169-nucleotide ribosomal RNA is filed under the name uncultured bacterium. RNAcentral describes it as "partial 16S ribosomal RNA". It matches the Rfam family "Bacterial small subunit ribosomal RNA", at positions 338 to 524 of the family's 1533-position model. The record is from RNAcentral.